This is a long non-coding RNA of Bombus huntii, 717 nucleotides long. RefSeq lists it as uncharacterized. The record is from RefSeq and is a predicted model, not a curated record. NCBI's taxonomy places the organism in Eukaryota, Metazoa, Arthropoda, Insecta, Hymenoptera, Apidae. The transcript has 3 exons.
GCCAGAAUACUUUUUGGAAUGCAAAAUUAUCAAACUUCAAUAAACGAGAGACACCAGUACUUUGUGGUUAGUAAGUAGCGUAUUGAGGACUAAUCAUUGAUCAACGGUUCUCAACUUAGUUUUUCCUAAAAUGUGCUAAAGUGUUAUGAAUUCGUGAUCCGUGUAGGGAAUUUUAUCAUAAUCAUUAGCAACAAUUGCAUUUAAUGUUAUUUUUAUUAUUAUAUUUUGCAGAACAGGAUUUCUUUCCUUUCUGCAAUAUAAUAAUAGCCAUUAUAAAGAAAAAGUUUUAUGAAUAAGUACAUGAUUGGAGAGAAAUAUUUUUGAAUAAAAGAAGACCUCUUGAAAAAUACAUUUAACAUUAUUUAUUUCAUAAUAUUACAUAUAUUUUGAUAUAAAUAAAAAAUCAUGUUACAAAGAAGGCUCAAUUAUUAAUCUCUUUUUGAAGAUAUAUAAUUAUAAAGGAGAUACAGUUAUUUGAUUAACUAGAUAUUUUUACUAUAGAGAGAGAAAGAGAGAGGGGAGAGAGAGAGAGAGAGAGAGAAAGAGAAAGAGAGGGUUUAAAUGAUGAAUAACAAAAAAUUCUAAUCCAAGUAAGGUUAUGAUUUAAGAUAGCGAAUGCGAAAAUGUGGAAAUGGUACAAGGUGAAAUGCAAUUGGCUAGAAGAAAAAGCCGCGACAAAUUUAAAUUACUUACAUCAUCCAGGUUUAUUUCGGAAGU